Nasonia vitripennis (jewel wasp) is the source of this 1465-nucleotide long non-coding RNA. RefSeq lists it as uncharacterized. The transcript is spliced from 9 exons. Lineage: Eukaryota; Metazoa; Arthropoda; Insecta; Hymenoptera; Pteromalidae. The record is from RefSeq and is a predicted model, not a curated record.
UAUGCCGAACAUAGCGGACUGUCAAGAAAUUAGUCUUAUGAGAAUCAGUUUUUAGUAAAGUUCUUCAUCAUCGUUUUCGUGACUUUGAAAAUGAAAUUGAGUUUGAUCUUCUUUGUUAUAAUUAACGUUUUUUGCAUUGAUAUUGAAUCGAUUUCUAAUGGAACGUUUGUUACUAUAAAGGAAGCGCCAUUUUAUGUUUCCAUAAUAAUAGGCAACAAAGAAUUUUGUGGUGGGUCAAUAAUUUCGGACUAUUGGAUAGUAUAAGCAGCUCACUAUUUUCUGGACUUUGAAAACCAAGAUGUAACAAUCCGAUCCGAUUCGAGUACUAAUUUGACCUUCGGAAAAAAACAUAAAAUUGAAAAAGUCAUUACAUCUGAAGAUUAUAAUAUACUGGAUUUUUCUAAAACAACCGGAACGCAUGAUAUUAGUCUAAUAAAAAUUUCUAUGACAAUUUUUGACUCAGAGUUUUGUGGGGGAUCUAUUAUUUCAGAGUAUUGGAUAGUAUCAGCAGCUCACUGUUUCAGCAACUUCAGAGACGAUUUAGUACGAAUUCGAUCCAGUUCUAGUACUACUGCUGUAAAAGGAAGAAAACACAAAAUUGAAAAGGUACUCAUACCUGAAAAUUUCAACAUACCGGAUUCUAGAAAAGGAACACAUGAUAUCAGUCUUAUAAAACUAUAAAAGCCAAUUAUAUUUGAUGAAUUUCAACAACCGAUACAAAUUUCUCGAAAUCCACCAAGAGACAAUGACAAGGCAACCAUAUAUGGUUUAGGCCAUCAGGGUACGACUCGUACGGACACGUUAGUUCUCAAAAUGGUAGAACUCAAUAUUAUCAGUAAAAAAGAUUGUGAACAAGUAUGGCACGAGACAGACGAUGUAUUUUGUACUGAGGAUGGCAUUACGAGCACAAACGCUUGUAAAGGUGAAACGGUCACGACUUAUCUCGGUCCUGUAGUAAUUAAAUUUAUUUUUUUGCGGAGCUUGUACGGGGUGUUACAAAGGAGACUCUGGAGGCCCAGUGGUGAUUGACGGCAAGCUAGCAGGAGUUGUUAGCCAGGGAUUCUCAUGCAAAAUUUCUAACAGGGGAUCACCAGGAUUUCAUACCAAAGUUCAUAAACAGUAUGAUUGGAUUAGGAAAAAAAGGGUAUAAAAUAUUGAAGACACCUUAUAAAAAAGUGCUUCAUAAAAGUAGAUUUGCUUAAUAAAAGUUAGAUUAUUGAAUAGGAAUUCUUAAACACUUAAAGGUACCUCUACCUAAAGUCCUGACUUCAUCACAAAGGUUGUGUUUUUUUUUAUUCUGGUGAAAAUAAAUUUGUAAAUUAAUUUAUUUGGGGCCGCAGUAGCACCCUAAUGACAAGUAUGCCUUGUUACAACAUAAAUAUGAAGACUAUUAUGUACUCGGUGUAAUAACGUUGUAUGUUCAUUCAAGAUUAUGCACGAAAUAAAUAUAUAUAUCAAAACAAAA